UAAGCCCCAGUAAACGGCGGCCGUAACUAUAACGGUCCUAAGGUAGCGAAAUUCCUUGUCGGGUAAGUUCCGACCCGCACGAAAGGCGUAACGAUUUGGGCACUGUCUCAACAACAGACUCGGUGAAAUUGUAAUUCCGGUGAAGAUGCCGGAUACCUGCGACAGGACGGAAAGACCCCAUGGAGCUUUACUGUAGCUUGACAUUGGGUCUUGGUACUACAUGUACAGGAUAGGUGGGAGGCUUUGAAACCAGGACGCCAGUUUUGGCGGAGCCAUCCUUGGGAUACCACCCUUGUAGUACUGGGACUCUAACCAUAGGCCAUGAAUCUGGUCUUGGGACACUGUCAGGUGGGCAGUUUGACUGGGGCGGUCGCCUCCCAAAAGGUAACGGAGGCGCUCAAAGGUUCUCUCAGUACGGUCGGAAAUCGUACGUAGAGUGUAAAGGCAAAAGAGAGCUUGAUUGCAAGACAUACAGGUCGAGCAAGGAUGAAAAUCGGACUUAGUGAUCCGGUGGUUCUGCGUGGAAGGGCCAUCGCUCAACGGAUAAAAGCUACCCUGGGGAUAACAGGCUUAUCUCCCCCAAGAGUCCACAUCGACGGGGAGGUUUGGCACCUCGAUGUCGGCUCAUCACAUCCUGGGGCUGUAGUAGGUCCCAAGGGUUGGGCUGUUCGCCCAUUAAAGUGGUACGCGAGCUGGGUUCAGAACGUCGUGAGACAGUUCGGUCCCUAUCCGUCGCAGGCGUAGGAAAUUUGAGAAGACCUGUCCUUAGUACGAGAGGACCGGGAUGGACGUACCUCUGGUGUACCAGUUGUCCUGCCAAGGGCAUGGCUGGGUAGCUAUGUACGGAAUGGAUAAGCGCUGAAAGCAUCUAAGCGCGAAGCCAACUUCAAGAUAAGAUUUCCCACCGCAAGGGUAAGACCCCAGAAAGACUAUCUGGUUGAUAGGUCGAAGGUGUAAGUGCAGCAAUGUAUUUAGCUUAUCGAUACUAAUAG
This 992-nucleotide ribosomal RNA is filed under the name Clostridioides difficile. RNAcentral describes it as "partial 23S ribosomal RNA". It matches the Rfam family "Bacterial large subunit ribosomal RNA", at positions 1914 to 2907 of the family's 2925-position model. Lineage: Bacteria; Bacillati; Bacillota; Clostridia; Peptostreptococcales; Peptostreptococcaceae. The record is from RNAcentral.